AUUAAUAUCACAAAUUAGUUUCAUGUUGAGUCUUAGUCAAAAUGCAGUAAACUAGUGUUCAUUAAAAUAAACUUCUGUUUGUCAGAUUCUGUGAUUAAAUAUUUGUUCUUACUAAUUUUCCUACCUGCAAAAGGACAUAAAGAGAUUAUCUGUAGUGUUCCAGAAAGGUCUUUGGUGAGAGGGAAUAUUCCAUAUGUCAAUUUCCUAUGUAGGGCAAGGAUCAUAGAUCUAAAAUGUAUAGAAGAUGAGGUUAAAUCUCCAUCUCUUCUAUUUUUCAUUUCACAGCCUUCAUGGGGCUUUGAAUUCAGCCUCAAACAUUGUGAUAAUCCGAUCCUGACACUUGCCCUCCCCUCAUUCACUCUUUUAACAAUCCCAAGAGAGUGCAGGACUGAGAUCCGAAAAUGUUAUUAUGGAGGGGAAAUAAAGGUUAUUUUGAAUGCUUCAAGGUCACGUGACUUGUAAGAAGAAGUCAGUUGCUAUGUACAAAGUCCUACUACUCUAAGACUGCCAUACCAUGAGAAGCCCAACCUAGCCAUGUGGAGAGGUCAUGUGAAGGAGAACUGAGUCUUCCAGCCAGCAACCCCAGCUGAGCUUCCAGCCAACAAACAGCACUAACUUGCAUGGGAGAAGCUGUCCAGGAAGUGAAUCCUUGAGCUCCAAUUGAGCUGCCUCAAGCUGGUGUCACGUGGAGCAGAGAUGAGCUGUCCCUGACAUACCUUGCACAAAUUUCAGAAACAUAAGUAAAUAAAAGAAAUAUUUGUAUUUUAAGUCAACA
Molecule: long non-coding RNA, 775 nt
Filed under: Homo sapiens (human)
Lineage: Eukaryota; Metazoa; Chordata; Mammalia; Primates; Hominidae
Description: HSALNT0069676
Source: RNAcentral